RNAcentral lists this ribosomal RNA (492 nucleotides) under uncultured bacterium. RNAcentral's name for it is "partial 16S ribosomal RNA". It matches the Rfam family "Bacterial small subunit ribosomal RNA", at positions 29 to 507 of the family's 1533-position model. The record is from RNAcentral.
AGUGAACGCUGGCGGUAGGCCUAACACAUGCAAGUCGAACGGCUGCACAGUAAUUGCUUGCUCUUUCGGGUGGCGAGUGGUGGACGGUUGAGGAAUACAUCGGUAUCUAUUUUUUCUUGGGUGAUAACGUAGGGAAUCUUACCCUAAUACUGCAUACGACCUACGGGUGAAAGCAGGGGAUCUUCGGACCUUGCGUGAUUGUAUGUGCCGAUGUCGGAUUAGCUAGUUGGCGGGGUAAAGGCCCACCAAGGCGACGAUCCGUAGCUGGUCUGAGAGGAUGAUCAGCCACACUGGAACUGAGACACGGUCCAGACUCCUACGGGAGGCAGCAGUGGGGAAUAUUGGACAAUGGGCGCAAGCCUGAUCCAGCCAUACCGCGUGGGUGAAGAAGGCCUUCGGGUUGUAAAGCCCUUUUGUUGGGAAAGAAAAGCAGCAGGUUAAUACCCCGCUGUUCUGACGGUACCAAAAGAAUAAGCACCGGCUAACUUCGUG